RNAcentral lists this long non-coding RNA (378 nucleotides) under Bos taurus (domestic cattle). Its description in RNAcentral is "long non-coding RNA NONBTAT010707". Lineage: Eukaryota; Metazoa; Chordata; Mammalia; Artiodactyla; Bovidae. The record is from RNAcentral.
CUUUUUUGGCUGAUUUUAAUGCCCCUCUGUGGUCUUAUAAGGCCAUCCCUGGUUUAAAAAACUAAUGCGUUUAUACAUGAUUUACCUACACAUGUAAACUGUGUUCCAGAUUAUGUCCAAUCCAGCGUCAGACAAAAUCUACCAGAUCGUCCACACUUAGUAUUUUUCCUACUUAUGAUGCAUUUUAACCUGUUGAAAACUACUCAUUACUUUUUUUUUUUCUUUUUUGAUUUGCACUCUUAGGAUUUUCUUCCUGUCUAUGUUCCCUGAAUCCAGACUCUAAGAUUUCAGUAUAUAUUUUACACUAUAAUAUGUUCUAGACUCUAAAAUUUCAGUAUAUAUUUUACACUAUAAUAUGUAUUACUUAAUAUAUAUUAU